ACAUUGCCAGCAUGCAUUGGACAAAUGUGAGGCAAGGUGCACAGGAGUUGCUGCACCUCGACUUGGGGAGAGCUGCAGGAACUAUCUUGAGUCCUCUGCUGGCCCUUGGACACAUACUAUUUAGGACUGAAACUUCUUUGAUCCUCAGCCGAUUUUGGUGCAGACCCUCCAGCUCUUGGGUCUCCUGGAUCACUCUUCCUCCAAAUCUAGGGAGUGUCCGCUCUGACAUCUUGGACUGGCCAGUUAUGUAUGAAAGUCUUUUCUAGGUAGAAAAGCUGUCUUUGGGUGAAACAAAAAAAAACU
Molecule: long non-coding RNA, 303 nt
Filed under: Homo sapiens (human)
Lineage: Eukaryota; Metazoa; Chordata; Mammalia; Primates; Hominidae
Description: non-protein coding STARD4-AS1:5
Source: RNAcentral